GCGGCCGUGGCGGAAUUGGCAGACGCGCAAGAUUUAGGUUCUUGUAUCUUUCCGAUGUAUGGGUUCAAGUCCCAUCGGCCGUA
RNAcentral lists this transfer RNA (83 nucleotides) under Shuttleworthella satelles. RNAcentral's name for it is "tRNA-Leu(tag)". It matches the Rfam family "tRNA". Rfam says of the family: Transfer RNA (tRNA) molecules are approximately 80 nucleotides in length. Their secondary structure includes four short double-helical elements and three loops (D, anti-codon, and T loops). Further hydrogen bonds mediate the characteristic L-shaped molecular structure. tRNAs have two regions of fundamental functional importance: the anti-codon, which is responsible for specific mRNA codon recognition, and the 3' end, to which the tRNAs corresponding amino acid is attached (by aminoacyl-tRNA synthetases). tRNAs cope with the degeneracy of the genetic code in two manners: having more than one tRNA (with a specific anti-codon) for a particular amino acid; and 'wobble' base-pairing, i.e. permitting non-standard base-pairing at the 3rd anti-codon position. Lineage: Bacteria; Bacillati; Bacillota; Clostridia; Lachnospirales; Lachnospiraceae. RNAcentral also lists the same sequence under 2 other names. The record is from RNAcentral.